This 408-nucleotide ribosomal RNA is filed under the name uncultured bacterium. Its description in RNAcentral is "partial 16S ribosomal RNA". It matches the Rfam family "Bacterial small subunit ribosomal RNA", at positions 28 to 526 of the family's 1533-position model. The record is from RNAcentral.
GACGAACGCUGGCGGCGUGCCUAAUACAUGCAAGUCGAGCGAAUCUGCGGAUUGGUGAGUACCGCGUGGGUAACCUGCCCUUAAGUCUGGAAUACCAUUUGGAAACAGAUGCUAAUACCGGAUACUACAGGCUGGACCUGCGAUGCAUUAGCUAGUUGGUAAGGUAACGGCUUACCAAGGCGAUGAUGCAUAGCCGGGUUGAGAGAAUGAUCGGCCACAUUGGGACUGAGACACGGCCCAGACUCCUACGGGAGGCAGCAGUAGGGAAUAUUUCACAAUGGACGAAAGUCUGAUGCAGCCAUGCCGCGUGUAUGAAGAAGGCCUUCGGGUUGUAAAGUACUUUCAGCGGGGAGGCGUUACUCGCAGAAGAAGCACCGGCUAACUCCGUGCCAGCAGCCGCGGUAAUAC